This 253-nucleotide ribosomal RNA is filed under the name uncultured bacterium. RNAcentral's name for it is "partial 16S ribosomal RNA". It matches the Rfam family "Bacterial small subunit ribosomal RNA", at positions 524 to 776 of the family's 1533-position model. The record is from RNAcentral.
UCCGGAGGGUGCAAGCGUUAUCCGGAUUCACUGGGUUUAAAGGGUGCGUAGGCGGGUAAGUAAGUCCGUGGUGAAAUCUCUGAGCUUAACUCAGAAACUGCCGUGGAUACUAUUUGCCUUGAAUAUUGUGGAGGUGAGCGGAAUAUGUCAUGUAGCGGUGAAAUGCUUAGAUAUGACAUAGAACACCAAUUGCGAAGGCAGCUCACUACACAAUCAUUGACGCUGAGGCACGAAAGCGUGGGGAUCAAACAGG